UACGUAGGGGGCGAGCGUUGUCCGGAUUUAUUGGGCGUAAAGAGCUCGUAGGCGGUUCGGUAAGUCGGAUGUGAAAUCUCCACGCUCAACGUGGAGGGGCCAUUCGAUACUGCCGUGACUCGAGUCCGGUAGGGGAGUGUGGAAUUCCCGGUGUAGCGGUGAAAUGCGCAGAGAUCGGGAGGAACACCCGUAGCGAAGGCGGCACUCUGGGCCGGUACUGACGCUGAGGAGCGAAAGCGCGGGGAGCGAACAGG
RNAcentral lists this ribosomal RNA (254 nucleotides) under uncultured bacterium. RNAcentral's name for it is "partial 16S ribosomal RNA". It matches the Rfam family "Bacterial small subunit ribosomal RNA", at positions 524 to 776 of the family's 1533-position model. The record is from RNAcentral.